AAUCAACGCUGGCGGCGUGCCUAACACAUGCAAGUCGAACGCGAAAGGGGCUUCGGCCCUGAGUAGAGUGGCAAACGGGUGAGUAACACGUGGGUGACCUGCCUUCGAGUGGGGGAUAACGUCCCGAAAGGGACGCUAAUACCGCAUGACAUCCUGCCUUUGGACAGGCGGAGAUCAAAGCUAGGGAUCGCAAGACCUGGCGCUUGAAGAGGGGCCCGCGCCUGAUUAGCAGUUGGCAGGGUAACGGCCUACCAAGGCAACGAUCAGUAGCCGGCCUGAGAGGGCGGACGGCCACACUGGGACUGAGACACGGCCCAGACUCCUACGGGAGGCAGCAGUGGGGAAUUGUUCGCAAUGGGCGGCAAGCCUGACGACGCAACGCCGCGUGGAGGAUGAAGAUCUUCGGGUCGUAAACUCCUGUCGAGCGGGAAGAAUACCUGCCGGG
RNAcentral lists this ribosomal RNA (445 nucleotides) under uncultured bacterium. RNAcentral describes it as "bacterial SSU rRNA". It matches the Rfam family "Bacterial small subunit ribosomal RNA", at positions 29 to 460 of the family's 1533-position model. The record is from RNAcentral.